GAUGAACGCUGGCGGCGUGCCUAAUACAUGCAAGUCGAGCGAACAGACGAGGAGCUUGCUCCUCUGACGUUAGCGGCGGACAGGUGAGUAACACGUGGAUAACCUACCUAUAAGACUGGGAUAACUUCGGGAAACCGGAGCUAAUACCGGAUAAUAUAUUGAACCGCAUGGUUCAAUAGUGAAAGACGGUUUUGCUGUCACUUAUAGAUGGAUCCGCGCCGCAUUAGCUAGUUGGUAAGGUAACGGCUUACCAAGGCAACGAUGCGUAGCCGACCUGAGAGGGUGAUCGGCCACACGUGAACUGAGACACGGUCCAGACUCCUACGGGAGGCAGCAGUAGGGAAUCUUCCGCAAUGGGCGAAAGCCUGACGGAGCAACGCCGCGUGAGUGAUGAAGGUCUUCGGAUCGUAAAACUCUGUUAUUAGGGAAGAACAAAUGUGUAAGUAACUAUGCACGUCUUGACGGUACCUAAUCAGAAAGCCACGGCUAACUACGUG
This 497-nucleotide ribosomal RNA is filed under the name uncultured bacterium. Its description in RNAcentral is "partial 16S ribosomal RNA". It matches the Rfam family "Bacterial small subunit ribosomal RNA", at positions 28 to 507 of the family's 1533-position model. The record is from RNAcentral.